UGGGGAAUAUUGGACAAUGGGCGCAAGCCUGAUCCAGCCAUGCCGCGUGAGUGAUGAAGGCCCUAGGGUUGUAAAGCUCUUUCACCGGUGAAGAUAAUGACGGUAACCGGAGAAGAAGCCCCGGCUAACUUCGUGCCAGCAGCCGCGGUAAUACGAAGGGGGCUAGCGUUGUUCGGAUUUACUGGGCGUAAAGCGGACGUAGGCGGACUUUUAAGUCAGGGGUGAAAUCCCGGGGCUCAACCCCGGAACUGCCUUUGAUACUGGAAGGCUUGAGUAUGGUAGAGGUGAGUGGAAUUCCGAGUGUAGAGGUGAAAUUCGUAGAUAUUCGGAGGAACACCAGUGGCGAAGGCGGCUCACUGGACCAUUACUGACGCUGAGGUGCGAAAGCGUGGGGAGCAAACAGG
Molecule: ribosomal RNA, 404 nt
Filed under: Actinomycetes bacterium
Lineage: Bacteria; Bacillati; Actinomycetota; Actinomycetes
Description: Actinobacteria bacterium partial 16S ribosomal RNA
Rfam family: Bacterial small subunit ribosomal RNA
Source: RNAcentral